CUACGGGCGGCAGCAGUUAAGAAUAUUCUGCAAUGCGCGCAAGCGUGACAGAUUGAGCCAGAGUGCGUUUCUAAUUGAAAUGCUUUUGCCAAGUGUAAAAAGCUUGGCGAAUAAGGACUGGGUAAGACUAGUGCCAGCCGCCGCGUGUAAUACUAGCGGUCCAAGUCGCAGCCAUUUUUAUUGGGUCUAAAACAUCCGUAGCUUGCCAGGUAAGUUUCUUGUGAAAUCCGGCUUCUCAAGAGUCGGGCGUGCAAGAAGUACUGCCAGGCUAGAGACUGGGAGACGUAAGAAGUACGUUUAAAGUAGCGGUAAAAUGUGUUAAUCUUAAACGGACUCACAAUAGCGAAGGCAUCUUACGAGAACAGUUCUGACAGUCAGGGAUGAAGGCUAGGGGCGCAAAACGGAUUAGAUACCCUAGUAGUC
This 423-nucleotide ribosomal RNA is filed under the name uncultured archaeon. Its description in RNAcentral is "partial 16S ribosomal RNA". It matches the Rfam family "Archaeal small subunit ribosomal RNA", at positions 323 to 746 of the family's 1478-position model. The record is from RNAcentral.